UUAUCAAAAUAGUUGUGCUACUAUUAUUAUUUUAUUUCAUACAGAAGCCUUAAUUUUCUCCUGAUCUCAACAUAACAAUAGUUGUUUUCCAUUAAUAUUAUCUUAAAUUUCCUUACAAAAACAGCUAUCCAUUGCUCACCAUUUCUCUGGACAUUCACAAAUCAUUUAUCUGUCAAACAUCAUUCUAUAACCAUGCAGACAUCCCUCGAGCUAGCUGGCAGUGAAAUUGACCAUGUCCCGGUUUCAUAGACAGGGCUUAGGCUAAGCCAGAAUUAGGCUUUAUUUCAGUUAGGGUAUUCAAGUAGCUUUUAUAAACAUACCCUAGAAAAAAAACAUUACUGGUGUGCAUCUUGAGACAAAACAAUAACACUGACAUAUUUUAAGACAUGUCAGUGCAAAUUACUUUCAGUUUAAACAGCUCAAACAUGCAUUUUAGUCUAGGACUAGCUUAAACCUUGUCUGUGAAACCGGGGGCAUAUGUUCAGAGUGACUAUAGUGUUGACGAUAGUAUCAUACUCCUUCUCAAAUGUCUAUUUCAGCUUGAGUCUCUGGUCAAAGAAAUAGCUUUUGUUUCUUCCAGAUCAAGAAAAACAAGAAAAAACAACUUUUAAAUUGAGAGUGAGAAAACAAUUUUGUUAUGUAGAGAUCACAAAGAAAUUAAGUCGAGAUUUCAAGAAUACAAAUUUUGUUGUGUGGAAAUCAGAAGGAAAUUAAGUCAAGAUCUUGAGACAAUAACUUUUGUUGUGUGGAGAUCACAAGAAAAUUAAGUCAAGAUCUCAAGAACACAACUUUUGUUAUGUGGAGAUCACAAAAAAAUUUAGUAAACAUCUUGAGAAAACAUCUUUUGUUGUUUGUUGAAGUCGAUGUAUGUUUUUUCCUGUAAGCUUUUUGUUUUUCUAUGCAUUUUUUCAUUUUUUGCAUAGUAAAAUAAUACCUUUAGCUGUAGUUUGCCUUUUUUGCCAAAUAAUUUAGUCAGAUGCCAAGUUUAUUGUUUUGUUCUUCCCUCAUAUUUAAAAUAUUUAAAAAAUAUAAAUUAUUUUCCUUAUAUUUUGAUGGUUUAAUCAAACUUGUAGUGUCAUUAAAAACAAAUAUCCCCUCGGACAUCACUUUUGGCUACUACUGUAUAACAUAUAAUAUAUGGAAUGAAAGGCUUUGAUUCAUUUUUGUUGAAAUCAUCCCAUCCAGGAAAACAUUUUGACAGAUUUAAUUUUAAAUAGCUUUGGGGUGUCUGUAAGAUUCUGAGUUACGACAUCUUCCAGUGGGAAAAUACAUGGGAAAUUCAUCAUAUAUCAUUGACAUUUAAAGACAAGGCAUUUAGACAAAAUGCUAUUAAGUUAGAUAUUGCCAUGAAGUAUUUGUGAUGAAACCCACAGUACUUUGUCAAUGUAUAUGACAACAGCAUAAAACAAACACUAAAUCAGUGAAGAGAGACCAAACUGGAACUGUUGAAAAGAAUGUGCAGCUGAAGCCUGUUAACUGUUAGGCAAGAUAAAAACAAUUCAAAAGAUAAAACAGAAGAAAAAAUUCUUUCAUUGUGGCUUUGAUAGCCCAUGUGAUACUUCAGUUAUUCCGAACACACACCUGCUUCACAAUAGCCAUCUAUAUGUAUAUGAGUCAUGAGUACUUUUGUAAUUUGUGAGAACUUCAUAGGAAUGAAGUAUACAUAAUAUUUUCAAGGAUGCAUUUAGAGGGCUGAUGACACUUUAGAAUAAUAAAAAUAUUAAACUUAAAUUCUUUUAAAAGUCCUGUAUUUUCUUAAAUUUCAUUAUAUGAUACUUAUAGAAACCCUGAAUAUGAGUUACUCAGUAGUUAAAUUUGUCAGUGUUAUGGUAAUCAUUUAAAUGGCUCUACAUAUAUUAAUUGGCUUUGUCUUCAUAUUGAAAAUGUUUUGAACUGAACAGAAUUAUGAUAAAAAAAAUCCAUUAGGAUUAACGGAAAUUGCACCACACAUCACCCACCAUGAAUUCCUAAACUGGAAUGCAACUGCUGAGGUGAAGAUCAAAUAUGUGCUUGCAACACUAUUUGUCAGCUCUUCGCAGAACCUGUCUAAAAUCUUUAUAUUGGUGCAGAUGUGUGUCCUGGUGCCAGAACUCAUGUUGAGACAUUUUUCAGAAGUAACUAUUGCUAGCAGAUUGCCGUCAGCAUUUUAGAUAUAAUUACAGUCAUUCUUGUCUGUUACAGUAAGUAUGGGAUUGUAGGAAUUUGACAUACAUUCUUAGUUAAGAGAAGACUUAACUGGAGGUUUGUAGUCAGAAGGUAUGCUAGUGACAGAUAAUAGAGAAAUAUUUCAUAAUAAGAUAUGCUUUCUAGCAAAAAGAUAAAAGUGGCAGUCUUAGCCAUAGACAGCGUAGCAUAUACCUCUGCCAUACAGUAUGGUGACAGCGAUUCAGCUGAUCCAAGUCGUGGCUCAUGAUCCUUACCCGAUCCCAUUCCCCUCUCUCCUCUCCAAUUGUUUCCUGUCUUUCUGGGAUUGUCCUAUCCAAAUAAUGGAAAAAAAAGUCCAAAAGAAUAACUCACUCACUAAAUGAAAAAAUGCUUGUCAUUAAAAUAAUUUAAUGUCUAAUUAAUUUAAGUUUAUUAUGCUUCUAUUAUUUAUUUUAUAAUGUAUAACAUAACAUUUUAUGUUACAAAAGAUUUAUAUUUCAAAUAAAUGCUUUUGGUUAAAAUUUCUAUUCAGAGAAUCCUAAAAAUGUGUCACCAUUUCCACCUAAAUAUUAAGCAGCACAACUGUUUUCAACAUUAAUAAUAAUGUUUGUUGAGCACCAAAUCAGCAUAUUAGAAUGAUUUCUAAAGGAUCAUGUGACACUGAAGACUGGAGUAAUGAUUGCUGAUAAUUCACCUGUUACAAAACCCUGGUGUAUAAAGCACACGACGAGGAGAUAUAAUCAGAAUAAGUCUUUUACUAGGAAAUCCAAAUGGAGAGAUCAGGAACAUACAGGAACACACCAAAGUAUACAUGAACGAUACCGGACCACACAAGACUGGAAACACAGGGCUUAUAUACAUGGAAUAACAAGGUGGGUGAUUAGACACAGCUGGAUGUGAUCAGUUACCAAGGUGAAUGACUAGUGGCGGGAAAUAGAACAACAACAAGUCCAAAA
Molecule: long non-coding RNA, 3101 nt
Organism: Ctenopharyngodon idella (grass carp)
Lineage: Eukaryota; Metazoa; Chordata; Actinopteri; Cypriniformes; Xenocyprididae
Exons: 2
Source: RefSeq, a predicted model, not a curated record